Molecule: transfer RNA, 75 nt
Filed under: Escherichia phage EK010
Lineage: Duplodnaviria; Heunggongvirae; Uroviricota; Caudoviricetes; Mtkvariviridae
Also listed under: 2 other names
Rfam family: tRNA
About the family: Transfer RNA (tRNA) molecules are approximately 80 nucleotides in length. Their secondary structure includes four short double-helical elements and three loops (D, anti-codon, and T loops). Further hydrogen bonds mediate the characteristic L-shaped molecular structure. tRNAs have two regions of fundamental functional importance: the anti-codon, which is responsible for specific mRNA codon recognition, and the 3' end, to which the tRNAs corresponding amino acid is attached (by aminoacyl-tRNA synthetases). tRNAs cope with the degeneracy of the genetic code in two manners: having more than one tRNA (with a specific anti-codon) for a particular amino acid; and 'wobble' base-pairing, i.e. permitting non-standard base-pairing at the 3rd anti-codon position.
Source: Rfam by way of RNAcentral
GCACCCUUAGCUCAAUUGGAUUAGAGUAGCGACCUUCUAAGUCGUCGGUUACAGGUUCGAAUCCUGUAGGGUGCA